CCAGAUUUUAUUUCAAUAUGUUACGCUUGUGACAUAUAAUAACAAAAUAAACAGAACUGAAAGUGCAGACCGUAAAACAAAGCAUUUUGGCCAAUCUACUCACAUGUGUCAGAGCCUAUACCCGGCUCUUAUUGACCAGUAAUUCACACAUAUUUCCUCCACAAACUGCCAAGUGGUAAGCCAUUUGUAUUAAAUGGAAACAUGAUCGAGUAUAGGACUUUUAUUGAAGGUCAUGCUUCAACACACAACACGUACAAUACAAAUACAGUAAUGGAUACAAAAUACUUUGAAUGAAUAUUUAUUUUAUAUGAUACAUUUAGCACAUAGCAUUAUCCCUGAAUUGUUCAGGCCCUUAUAAAUUAUAUUAAUAAUAAUUAAUAUUAAUUGCAUAAAUGUCUUUAUAAUGAGCAGGCAUUACGGAAGCAACUGUACAGAAUGGACUCUGAUACCUUGCAUCAAACACAAGUAUGUAGAGUCUAUGGACCUGUGAAGGAGCCCUUUGUAGGAUUUUGAGAUGCCCGCAGAUUAUAAUACAAUAUCUGGGACAGGUCAUCCGUUUGCUCCUUAUACAAAGAGUCAGAGGGGUCGUUUUUGGCAUUUUUCAGAAAAAUUUGCAAUCCCCAAAGUGACAGACAAAAAACACAUCUAUAUCUACUUUCGUCUAAAGGCGUAUAAGCCACCAGGACAAAUGGAUUGAAUAAGAUGUGGGAUUUUAUCCAUUAAUUAACUGCAUUUUGUUAACCAUUUUUAUUUUUACUAUAAGUCUUCUGAAAACAGGAACAUUUAACCUGAACAUUAAAUACAUAAAUUAAAUCUUUUAGGGCUUGUCCCCAAAAAGGGCAUAUAGAAUUGACAUUUCACAGCGAGACAAUGGAAAAAGAAUGGUAAAAAUAAAUUAAUAAUCUACAAGGAAUGAGGGGGGGAUAAAUGCUUUUUUUCCACAUAGUACUUUAGAACUUUACCAUUGCCAGUUAUAGUGACCUACUCUCUAUUCAUAUCCGUCAAUCACUUUAUACGCGCCCACUAGGAUCUCUGGGAAGCCAGUUGUCGUGAUCAGUGGAUUAUCCCACUAUUUAAACAUCUUAUAGUUUGUCCACCUGAGUGAGAGGAGAGGAGGAACACAUCUGCAGCAUCUCCAGGUCACCAAGUAGUUCUUUUUCAAAUGGCAGUAGGAUUGCCAGUCCCAGAAUGGAGACAGGGACAUAAAUCAAACAUUACAUAUCCUAUCAACCCCAGCCGGCAAGUGUAGAAUUCUAGAACAUGACAUGCAGGAAUGCCAGCAGCUUCGUAGGUAGAUUUUACAAUAAUAUUCAUUGCAAAUGCACGCAUGAAAAAUAACCAGAUUCUGAAAUUAAAUUAAAAUAAGAAAUAAGCCAAGUGCUUACACAUUAGAAACGUUAUUCACUAAAUUUGGAAUUCUUGCAAAUUAAAUCCAAAUGGGAAAAGCGGAUGCAAAAAUAGCCACUUUGGAACUCUGGCUGAGCUGGAGAUUUUUUUCCUGUUAAUUCUCAAAAAAAAUUGAGUAGUGAAGAACCCUGAAAAUGUGAAGUUUAGGUGGCUAUUGAAUAAGAAUUUGCAUUGGACUAAACCAGUAAAAAUAACUGUAUUUACAGGCCAGUAACACUCGAAGACCCACGGAUAAACCCAGAAUUCUCAGAUGCCCACAGAUAGUGGUGAAUCUGAUGACAAUUUAAACAAUAUUAUUUUGGAAGGUAUUGCCCCUGUUCUCAGUAUUUCAGGUGUAACGAUCUAGAACCCUAACAUGUACCUUGCAUCCCCUGUGCACUUUCUGUACAUUCUUAUUAUAUUUGCUCAGUAGGACUUUCUAAAACAGUAUAUAAUAAUAAUCAUAAUGAUUAUUAUUAUUAUUCUUGACAUAUUUUUACCAAAUUCAUCACAGUUCAGAAAUGGCACAUGUCCCCAUCUCUUGGGGUUUAAUCCUUUGAAAAUGGCUGGAGGGCCUUUGACAUCAGGACAGUGUUAGUAAAAAAAUACAAGGCACUAUGUACUAUAUACAGACCACAAAGAACUGCUGAACUAGCACUUAGGAGAGUGCACACAAAAUAACUUAAGAAAACGUCUCCAAAUUUUAGCAGCAAAAUGUAACCAACUCAGUAAAGGGUGAAUUGUCAUCUCUGUGUGAAAUAUCAGACAAAACCAUAGAACCUGCUUCUCUUCUGCACAUUCAAUAAUGAUUGGUGCUUGUUCUGAUGUUAAGCUAAAGUAUUCAUCCACAUAGCACAGUUUAGUUAUAGGGGCUCACUAGUGCAGCCCAAAUUUAUUCAAAGAGCAUCCACAGUACAGACGUUAUGGGACCCCUAGUAGGCCUCUAUAACUAAGCUGCGCUUUGUGGGUGAAUACUUGGGAUUACUAUAGCUUGCUUGCUGUGGGGGCUACAGCAGAUUACACACAAUAGCUGCACUGGGUUCAACUACUUUGUCUUUUAGUACUGGAUUAUACCAGACUCCUAGAUCAUAUUAUCUUUUGUUCUGAUGUUAUUAUAACUUUAUUUCCAGUAAAGUAAGAAAAACUCAGACAGUGAAACUUUUUAACUUCAAGUCACCUACUUUGUCUUAUAUUUUGUGACUUAUCAACUCAUUUCAGCUCACUGUUUAGUGAAUAAUUCCCUAGACUGAACACUCCAUAAAGUUCAGCUAAGCCGUCAAACUCCAAGCAUUGAUUGGUAGACACAAUAUUUAUCCUACAGAGAGGAGCUUUUGACAGCUAACUUGGUUAAGAUGAAAUACAAACAAUACUUUUUGUGAGCUGGAUGAGUUUCUAUAGCUGGUGUGUUCUGGCCGUUCUCAUGUAAAAUUCACUAGGUAAGUACCCAGACAAACACUGCUCAUUUUAUUUGUUAUUUUUACUACACUUGGCCCGCACAGCACCAUAGUAUAAGAAGCUCUUAGCAGGGCUGUAUCCACCUCUUGUUUCUUACGUUACCUGAACUUGUUCCUCAUUUAUUCGUUGAUUUUAUAACUCCUACGUGGAGUUCUGUGGAAUAUAUCAGAGCAAUACAAAUCAUAAUCAAUGUGGUGAAGCCAGCAAUGUUCUUUGAAGUUCUCGCAUUAGAUACAAGAUUCCAUCUUACAUGUCAUACCUGAUACUAUGAAAUAUGGAUUUAAUGAUAAGUUCCAAAUCCCAUCCACUGCAGAAUGUCGUGUUCUAAAUUAUUUCAAGUUAAUGUCUUUGGACAGCAUGGUUUGUUGCCCCAUUGGCUCUAGAGAAUGUCACAUUAUUUAUACUUGGUCAUGGCAUUGAAUGGCCCAACAUAUCAAGCCAGAAAAGGAGCCUUUGGGCACACGCUUUUCGCACUGCAGCUAUGUCCGCGCUAUGAUAUGUUGGCCUAUUAAGAUGUUUCAGUGGCUGGAAAACACAUUGUUCUGUUGUGUGAGAAACCAAAAGAGUCACGUCAUUGCUGCACAGAUUUCUCUCUCUUUGAAGGCUUCAUGAAUCAGUAGGGAAAAGGGACGUUUUAAUCAUGGAGUUUAUUCUUUAAAAAACCAAAUGUAACCUUAAAGGGACAUAAUGUAUUGAUCCUGGUGUCUAUAGCUUGUCCCUGCAGUCUUUUCAAUGUAUACGAAAAGGCAGUGUUUACAUUGGUGCAUAGCAACACCUCUAGUGACAAUCACUCGGACGGCCACUAGAGUUGCUUCCUAGCUUAGUGCUGCACAUACGCUCAGUGUCUCCACGCACUGCAUGGAGACGCAGAAUGUUUCCCACAGCGAUGCAUUAAUUCAAUGCAUUUCUAUGAGGAGGUGCUGAUUGGCGCAGUGUACCAAGUUUGAUGAUCUCAGCCAUGGAGGCGAGAUUGGCACGGCAUGGAAGAAAAGUUUGGUAAAAUCACCCUUUUACUGGGAUUGGGGGUUGGGGAGAUGGUUACCUUAACAGCCACUUCAGGAAUAGAGUGUCAGGAAUACAAAUUUGUAUUCUUGACAUUAUAGUAUUCCUUUAAGAAUAUGCUCAGGUUAAUCCUCCACCUGAAAUUCAGAGACUACAAUCCUGUCGCACAUAAAGGAAAAUCCUUUUAGAAAGGACUACAGAGAAAAUCCCCUUAAAUCUAAUUAGAGUUUAGUCAUUAGAGAUUCAAACACCAGCCACAGAAAGGCAGUAUGAGUAUGUACGUGCUUUAAUAGUGCCCUGUUCAUCUAUGUUCCUGGCAUUGCAGGAGUUAAUGUAAUUUACAUGCCAUGCCUUAUAUAUGCCAUGUAAAUAC
Molecule: non-coding RNA, 4216 nt
Organism: Pelobates cultripes (western spadefoot toad)
Lineage: Eukaryota; Metazoa; Chordata; Amphibia; Anura; Pelobatidae
Source: the annotation of a GenBank genome assembly